RNAcentral lists this ribosomal RNA (245 nucleotides) under uncultured bacterium. RNAcentral describes it as "partial 16S ribosomal RNA". It matches the Rfam family "Bacterial small subunit ribosomal RNA", at positions 524 to 768 of the family's 1533-position model. The record is from RNAcentral.
UACAGAGACCUCAAGCAUUAUCCGGAUUUAUUGGGCGUAAAGGGUCCGCAGGUGGCCUGGCACGUCAUCGGUUAAACCUCUGGGCUCAACCCAGGGACUGCCGGUGAUACGACCAGGCUCGAGGGUGGGAAAGGUCAGCGGAAUUCACGGUGUAGUAGUAAAAUGCGUUAAUAUCGUGAAGAACACCAAAUGCGAAGGCAGCUGACUGGAACACUCCUGACACUCAGGGACGAAAGCGUGGGUAG